UACGGAGGGUGCAAGCGUUGUUCGGAAUCAUUGGGCGUAAAGAGCGUGUAGGCGGUCCGGUAAGUCCGCUGUGAAAGUCCAGGGCUCAACCCUGGAAUGCCGGUGGAUACUGCCGGGCUAGAGUCCGGAAGAGGCGAGUGGAAUUCCUGGUGUAGCGGUGAAAUGCGCAGAUAUCAGGAGGAACACCGAUGGCGAAGGCAGCUCGCUGGGACGGUACUGACGCUGAGACGCGAAAGCGUGGGGAGCAAACAGG
This 253-nucleotide ribosomal RNA is filed under the name uncultured bacterium. RNAcentral describes it as "partial 16S ribosomal RNA". It matches the Rfam family "Bacterial small subunit ribosomal RNA", at positions 524 to 776 of the family's 1533-position model. The record is from RNAcentral.